UACAGAGGGGGCAAGCGUUGUUCGGAAUUACUGGGCGUAAAGGGCGCGUAGGCGGCCUUCUAAGUCGAACGUGAAAUCCCCGGGCUCAACCCGGGAACUGCGUCCGAUACUGGAAGGCUUGAAUCCGGGAGAGGGAUGCGGAAUUCCAGGUGUAGCGGUGAAAUGCGUAGAGAUCUGGAGGAACACCGGUGGCGAAGGCGGCAUCCUGGACCGACACUGACGCUGAGGCGCGAAAGCCAGGGGAGCAAACGGG
This 253-nucleotide ribosomal RNA is filed under the name uncultured bacterium. RNAcentral's name for it is "partial 16S ribosomal RNA". It matches the Rfam family "Bacterial small subunit ribosomal RNA", at positions 524 to 776 of the family's 1533-position model. The record is from RNAcentral.